This is a non-coding RNA of Bubalus bubalis (water buffalo), 1010 nucleotides long. The record is from the annotation of a RefSeq genome assembly. NCBI's taxonomy places the organism in Eukaryota, Metazoa, Chordata, Mammalia, Artiodactyla, Bovidae.
CCUAGUUUUAAAUUUAAAAAAUCCCAUUUUAAAAGGCAAAUUGUUCCUCCCCAAACAACAUCAGCUUGAGUAAACUCUUUCUUUUCAAGCUUUGACAAACAUAUAUACCACUUAAACUAGAAAGCAUUCUGUGAAGAAUUGGUUAUAAAGUCAGCAAUUUUAGAUCCAGCCACAGGGGGACAGCAUCCGCAAACACGCCCUGCUUUUUAAGAUGUGUGAGUAAAAUAGGGGAAAGUCUGAUUGGCUGUCUCAAAUGGCAGUCACUCCUUUCUUUUUUCUUUCCAAAAGGCAGUGUAGACCACAGAAACAUGUGUGGGGCUGGAAAAGCUUGUACAAGGGAAACCCUUUAGGAUCAGGCAGAUUCAGCAACUCUUCCUGACGAGGGAGAAGAGGGAAAUGCUGCUCCUGGCACCAGUGUUGAUCUUAUGGAUGCAAAUACCACAAGUGAACGGACAACAGAUAAGUCAAAUUCCUCAAUUCUUGCCUCUACAAGAAGGAGAGAACUUCACCACGUACUGCAAUUCCUCAAGCACUUUAAGCAGCUUACAGUGGUAUAAGCAGAGCCCUGGGGGGAGUCCUGUCCUCUUGAUGAUAUUAGCUAAGGGUGGAGAAGUGAAGACGGAGCAGAGACUGACAGGUCGGCUUGGAGAGACCAGAAAGCAGGGCUCCCUACACCUCACGGCUGCCCAGCUCUCAGAUGUAGGAAUCUACUUCUGUGCGGGGCACAGUGCUCUGGAAGCAUCUGCUGUCUGUCCCCAAACCUCACUGUGGUCUCCAGGGGUCACUCCUCUUCAUUUCUCCUCAGGGCGGGGCCAAAGAAAGCUGAAGUCACGAUAUAUCUAUGAAGAAAUUGAAUUUUUAAUUAAAAAAAAAAAUCCCUGGACUCAGACAGCAUUACUAGAUAAUUCUACCAAUCUUUUGAAGUAUUAGCAUGAAUUAUAGAGAAGGCAAUGGCAACCCACUCCAGUACUCUUGCCUGGAAAAUCCCAUGGACGGAGGAGCCUAGUAGG